Molecule: long non-coding RNA, 1287 nt
Filed under: Anser brachyrhynchus (Pink-footed goose)
Lineage: Eukaryota; Metazoa; Chordata; Aves; Anseriformes; Anatidae
Description: lncRNA (ENSABRG00000020418.1)
Source: RNAcentral
CUGUUCACGAGAUGUCAGAAUGUUGCUUUAUGUGGCCAGUGGUCAUAGGGCUCGUAGUCAUAUACUUGUUCAAAAUAUUCUUGUUCAAAGUUUCACCUUUGAUCAUGCUGGUGCCAAUAGGUCUGAUUAACCUAAUAAAUACGCUUUGUUAGCACUAUUGCUUUUUUUUUUUUUUUCCUUUCUUCCCCUCAUGCGCAACAUAUUUAGAAGUGGGAUAUUUACUUCCAGGCAGUAGAAGUCUUGUAUCAAGAUACAGACUCUGUGUGAGGAGGGUGGGGCAGCUGAGAGCAGGUCCACCUGCUUCUGCUACAGCCUGAUUAAUACUUUCUGUAACUGAAAAGGACAACCCUAACUGACCAAAAUCUGCAUGGUUCUAAUAAUAAAUGGAGUCAACAAACAAAAAGCACAUGUACAGGAACUAGGCACCUGCUGAAGAGAUCACUUCUCAUUGAGAGUAGCAUUCGAUGCCUGCUUAGCUUUGUUGAGUCAUUUGCAAAUGGGUUUCAUAGAAAUGUUGUUACACAGUUCAGAAAUUUCAUGAGGAUGCUAAUUAAAGGAGGCCAAUUGAAGGCCUCCAGAUGAGGCAGAAUCAUUAUAUCUUUCCUAGUAAUGCCUGAGGAAAGGUAGCAGCAAUCAUGAGACAUUUAUUUCAGUAAAUACUCUUCUGUUAGUACUGGUCCAGCUGCUUGGUGGCUUGCUGUAGCGUCCCCCUUAGCUUUCCCAGCUAUAUUUAUUCAGUUGCGCCAUAUGUCUUGUUUGAAGGAAAUCCUCUAGUUAAAAGACCAAGCACAAUGAGUGAUGGAGAAUGGAAUCCCUGUCUGAAGGCCAGCUGGAGCUCCAUGCAGAGGGGCUGCUUUGCCCGGGCAGGUUGGCCCAUGGUCUCUUUAGGAAGUACUCGAGGAUUUCAGCAUCGUCUCCCAUGACUGAGCCUGUGCAGGAGCAGGCUUUUUCUGUCCAUGCUCUGCCUUCUGUUGCAUGGAGGAAAACUGUUGGUUCCUUUAUCUUGCAUAUUAAAGGUGGAUUUUGUACCUCUUUCUCUCAGUGAAACAUCCCUGUGGCUAAUUGCAGUGACACUGAUAUUCGAAGGUUUCUAGAGCAGUUCAAUUUAAACAUUGUGACUUUGUGAGCCUGGCAUCGAGUGCUGGAAGGAGCACAUUUAUUGAAGACUUAAAACUAGUGGAGAUGUUGCUAUAUACGCUGUGAGAGAGCUGUUAUGCUUCUUCUCUUUGACUGUAUUAUUUCACUCAUUAGAAUAAACUAUCAGCAAAUCUCCUGUUGUAUGUUCUU